RNAcentral lists this long non-coding RNA (3902 nucleotides) under Taeniopygia guttata (zebra finch). RNAcentral's name for it is "lncRNA (ENSTGUG00000023002.1)". The record is from RNAcentral. Lineage: Eukaryota; Metazoa; Chordata; Aves; Passeriformes; Estrildidae.
GCCUUUAAACCAUCUUGGUACUUCUCAGAUUCUGGGUUGCUCAGCAGUCUGAACUGACUUCCAACUGGUGCUGAGAUUCUGGCUCUGACAGCUCUUGUUUGCCAUGUUCUGCAAGAGGCCUUUGGAUAAACAGCCUUUAUAUUCCUUAUGAGCAUAAGGGAAGAAACAUGCUGACAUUUCAACAUUCCUUCAACUCAACAGUUCAGAAUACAAUCACAACAAGAAAAGCAACAUGUGUACACACUAAUGGCCAGAGAUUUAUUUCAGUGGAUUUUCCAAGAAUUGAAAGGUAAGCCCCAAUGCUAAUUUUACAGAUUUUUGAUAAGGAGAGGUCAAAUUUUAGGAUUAAAAAAAGAAAAUACAUUUGAAUAGCAUCCAUAAGACAAUGAAGAGUUUGGGAAAAUAGCAUACAAAAUUCCCUUUACAUUUUAGUAGCAACUACAGGAGAAAACAGAUGCUGUCCUGUCAUGCAACAUAAUGUUUUAUUUCAUUUAGUUCUGGGCUUUAAUUGCAUUACUAGGGACAAAAGUCAAUCUUAGCUUAUUUCUGUAAAUUAUGUCUUCAUUACUGACAGAAACAGUAAUGAUUAUGUGUACAUAAACAGAUGCAAAAGACACAAAUAAAAGUCAUGCUAUUGUAAUUAGAAGGAUGAAAAAGUGUAUUAAUUGAAUUAAGCUUCAGUUAAUUUAAUUAACAUGCCAGGGUAUUGUGAUCAUGAGCACAUUAGAGACAUCUUAACAGUGAUGAUUUUCCAUCUCUCAUGCCCUCUUCAAAUAUAUAUUUUGUCAAACAUUAGGAAAAUGUGAAAAUUCAUAGUGUUCCCUGAAAGUCUCGACCAAGCAAUGAUGCAGAAUGAACACAAUACUUCUGCUGGUAGAAGACUAAGGAUGUCAAAGUAUUUCAAAAUAUCUAAGAUGAAGAUUACGUCUUGCAAAAGCAAUAUAUUUUUGUAUUUUGAGCUAACAAGAAUCUUUGCACUCUUGAAAAAAUUCACUUCCCAGGGAGAACAGGAAGUGUAAUCAGGCCAGUAAAUUUUCAGAAGCCUUGAACAAAUUCAAAAAAAAGACUCAGAAUAGAAACAUUCAGGCAUAUAACUUUUCCUGUUUUUAACAUACCAAUUGUAAUGUUGGCAUAUGUGAACCUGUAUAGCACUAAGCAGUCACUUUUUUUUCCCAACAAGAUAUUUUUCAUCAAGAAACAAAAAUAAAGAUCCUAUUUCAGAAAUCUCUGGUUCAGCCAACAUUAUGCCAAUAUUAUUUGGCUUCAGUUGCUAACAACUUGCAAGCUGGAGAAUUAAUAACUAGACUUCAGUUGCCACCAUUCACUAAUGAGGCUGGAACGUGACCUGUACACCUAACCAGCUGUGAAUAAAACAGAAAAAGCACAAGACUCACUUACAACUGUCAAACUAAGGCAUUUUCUUUAGUGCUAAUCCAAAGAUGGAUGAGCCCUACUGCUGCAGCAGUAUAUCAACAUUCAGCCAGUGUAAGCACCAGAGUAAAACAAGACACUGUUUACUCCAGAAGUUCUCAAUAUAUUUUUUUCUUCUUGCUUUGAACAUUUCCUAUGUUUUGCCUUGGGACCGGAUGAUAAACCCGUAUUAAUUCCCUUGGAAGACUGUAUUUACUGUAAUUGUGUAAGAUGGACCAAGGUCUUUUCUGCAUAUUUUAUAUUAUCCUUUUGCAAAUUUUUGCAUUCCUUUCUCAGCUUUAAAUCAUUGCUUUGCCAAUAGUAAUUGUGUAUGCCAAAGCUAUCAACAGUAGAAAAUUCCAUAUGUUGCUGCACAGAUAAAAUACAGACAAGAGAGCAACUCAAACCUACCUUCUUUAUAUGCACCCCUCCAACUGGAGCAAAAGAGAGGGUGGUCUAUGUAGAUUUCAUAGUUGAAUUCUAGAUCAAAAACUGUGUUUUAAUUAUAUGUUCAGUUCAAUCAGGACAUCUCACUUGUUUUCUCUCAUCUUGAAGGAAGUCUGAAAUUGUUUGUCCAGGUACAAAUUUGGUGCAUGACCACAUCAUAGACUUUCAGAACACAAAAGCUUUGUUAGAAUCCUGAAGGUUUUGUGGAAUAAAGUUGUGUCUGAGAAAGCUGCUUCGGGACUGAUAGGUUGUUCCUGGCUCCAGCACAGUGCUGAACACAUGGCUUUUGUAAAAGCAUCCCAGAAACUCCUUCUGACACUCUCUUCCUUAUUUUCCAGACCACUGAAUUCUUACUGAUCGGGAAUUGAACACUGUAGAGAUCCUUUAAACAACUUCUGGCGUUUAGACAGCAUUGGGAAGAGGGGAGUUCACAGUAGGCAUAAAAGAUUUUUUCUUUGAAGCAGUUCCUGAAUUGAUAAAGUUAUCCUGAGAUAAGCAUCCAGGGAAUUUUGUCAAUAAAGACAAUUUAGUAAGUCAAUGGGAACAACCAUAAAGAGUGCAGAAAGCACAAAUGAGUAUCUGAAAUUCUUUUUGCCCUACUAAUUCCUGGAUACCACUUCCUGUCCUUAGAAACAAGAAAAACUCAUGUAAACUGGAGUGAGGCCUUUUUUGGAGAGAGGAAUAGCCAAUACCUCCUUCCAUGGUGUAAAACCCCAAGAAAUUCUACCAAGGCUUUUCUCUGCCUUUCAUGCUCUCCACACUCCUUAAGCUUUCUGCUCAGCAGCCCCUUGAAGAGUGUGGCAUUUCCUUUGAGCUAAUGAAAUUGCAAAAAUCAGCUGUGAGAUUUGGACUGUAUAAGAUGGUUUUCUGUGAGGAAAGAGUGCAUUUUCUUUAUGGGUAAAGGAAUAAAGGUUGUGAAGAAUAAACAGUAUAAGUAGCUGUAGCUGAGGAAGACAGAAAUUUGGGAUAGGCUAUGGAAGUUACAAUAUAUGCACGUUGGGGAAGAGCAGAAGAGACAUAAAGUGCCACAGAAAAGAUGUAAGGGAAGUCUAAAAAAGUUUGAAAAUUAUGCCUUAGGGAAAAUCCAAGUUGUUUCAGUUUUCAGUUGAGAACUGUUGUAUACAGGUUUCACCCAGAAACCAACUACCGUGAAGCUCUGCUUCAAGGUAUGAGUUUACUGUGAGACAUUUUCCAUCCUUGUCAGGAUUUUGCCAACAGCAUCCUGAAAAAAAUGCUGUUUCAUUAAUCCAUACCUCACUGGGAGCUCCAGGCAUUAGGCAGAUAUUUGGAUUUCACUUCACUGAAUCACAGGAGGGUUAGAAGAGAGUUCUGGACAUCAUCUAGUCCAACACCCCCUGCCAAGGCAGGGUCACCUAGAACAGGUGACACAGGGACAUUUCCAGCUGGCUUUGGAAUGUCUCUAGAGAGGGAGACUCCAUGGCCUCCCUGUUCCGGUGCUCUGUCACCCUCAGCGUAAAGACGUUCUUCCUCACGUCAAGGUGGAACUUCUUGUGGUUUAGUUUAUGGCCAUUGCUCCUUGUUCUGUCACUGGGUACCACUGAAUGGGGUCUGGCACCAUCCACUUUUAUGACUAAACCAGGAAAUUUGGUUACUGUUCUACUAUCACAUUAUAAACUUUAGCUUUGUAUUUUUUUAAUCAUAUGAACCCUUUUCUUUUGAAUUAUGCAAUCCUAUGAUCACACUUGGUGAACAUGGAAAAAAUGCUGAACCCGGUGAAUGUGUAUAUGUAUAUACAAAGUAAUUAGCAGAUAUAAAAAACAGUAUAAGGCCUUCUUUCUUGCUAUAGUGCUAAGAAAAUUCAACAUUGAAGAAUUUAGCAAGAGUUCAUUGAUACCAAAAACACCAGAUUGCUUUGUAGUAGCAAUGUAUGAAUAACAUGAAACUGCUUCUGAGAGUCAGAAAAAGGAAUAGUUCUGGAACUCAGUUUUUCAUCUGUCUAAAUAGUAUGGAUAUGCCUUUGGGAGUUGUCAGCUCAGAAACUACAGUUGUUUAAAUAAGUAUUUUUAACUGGAGUGAAGGACCCC